CGGUGGUGUCAUGGUCAUUAAUUGUUGACCGUUCAUAGGAACCAUGCAAUUGCAAUGCAUUGCAGCUUGUGUGGGGUUCAUAUAACGGUCAACAGAGACCCUUGAUAUCAAAGA
This 114-nucleotide microRNA precursor is filed under the name Medicago truncatula (barrel medic). RNAcentral describes it as "miRNA gene1727". It matches the Rfam family "MIR2587 microRNA precursor family". The record is from RNAcentral. Lineage: Eukaryota; Viridiplantae; Streptophyta; Magnoliopsida; Fabales; Fabaceae.